This 460-nucleotide ribosomal RNA is filed under the name uncultured bacterium. RNAcentral's name for it is "partial 16S ribosomal RNA". It matches the Rfam family "Bacterial small subunit ribosomal RNA", at positions 338 to 795 of the family's 1533-position model. The record is from RNAcentral.
CCUACGGGUGGCAGCAGUGAGGAAUAUUGGUCAAUGGACGCAAGUCUGAACCAGCCAUGCCGCGUGAAGGAAGACGGCUCUAUGAGUUGUAAACUGCUUUUGUACGAGGGUAAAGGCAGAUACGUGUACCUGUCUGAACGUAUCGUACGAAUAAGGCUCGGCUAACUCCGUGCCAGCAGCCGCGGUAAUACGGAGGAUUCAAGCGUUAUCCGGAUUUAUUGGGUUUAAAGGGUGCGUAGGGGGGUGGUUAAGUUAGAGGUGAAAGUUUGAGGCUCAACUUCGGAAUUGCAGUUGAUACUGUUCGGCUAGAGAGUAGGUGCGGUAGGCGGAAUGUGUGGUGUAGCGGUGAAAUGCUUAGAGAUCAUACAGAACACCGAUUGCGAAGGCAGCUUACUAAGCUGCUUCUGACGUUGAGGCUCGAAAGCGUGGGGAGCAAACAGGAUUAGAUACCCCAGUAGUC